RNAcentral lists this non-coding RNA (30 nucleotides) under Homo sapiens (human). Lineage: Eukaryota; Metazoa; Chordata; Mammalia; Primates; Hominidae. The record is from RNAcentral.
UUCAAAUUCGUGUAUUGUAAGUGAAGUGCA